CCAGACCGCCAUUACAGAACUCAGUGAAAUUGUAUUGUUCUAGAGAAGAAAACGUCAUCACGUGCAUUUUGAAGUGAAUGUUAUAUCCUCAUCUUAAAGCCAGCUCUCUGAGAUAACUGAUAACUCCAGCAGUGUUUCCUAACCUACCACGCUCUCGGUGUCAUCAUCUAAAAGGUGCUCCCUUCAGGAACAAAUUUACACAGACCUCUGGAAACAUAUCUGCAGUUGCCUAAAGGAAAAGGAAACGGCAAGAACUAGGCAGACAAAGCGAUCCUGAGAUCA
RNAcentral lists this long non-coding RNA (282 nucleotides) under Anser brachyrhynchus (Pink-footed goose). Its description in RNAcentral is "lncRNA (ENSABRG00000004046.1)". The record is from RNAcentral. Lineage: Eukaryota; Metazoa; Chordata; Aves; Anseriformes; Anatidae.